RNAcentral lists this ribosomal RNA (546 nucleotides) under uncultured bacterium. Its description in RNAcentral is "bacterial SSU rRNA". It matches the Rfam family "Bacterial small subunit ribosomal RNA", at positions 356 to 896 of the family's 1533-position model. The record is from RNAcentral.
GGGGAAUAUUGCGCAAUGGGGGGAACCCUGACGCAGCCAUGCCGCGUGAAUGAAGAAGGCCUUCGGGUUGUAAAGUUCUUUCGGUAUUGAGGAAGGUUGAUGUGUUAAUAGUACAUCAAAUUGACGUUAAAUACAGAAGAAGCACCGGCUAACUCCGUGCCAGCAGCCGCGGUAAUACGGAGGGUGCGAGCGUUAAUCGGAAUAACUGGGCGUAAAGGGCACGCAGGCGGUUAUUUAAGUGAGGUGUGAAAGCCCCGGGCUUAACCUGGGAAUUGCAUUUCAGACUGGGUAACUAGAGUACUUUAGGGAGGGGUAGAAUUCCACGUGUAGCGGUGAAAUGCGUAGAGAUGUGAAGGAAUACCGAAGGCGAAGGCAGCCCCUUGGGAAUGUACUGACGCUCAUGUGCGAAAGCGUGGGGAGCAAACAGGAUUAGAUACCCUGGUAGUCCACGCUGUAAACGCUGUCGAUUUGGGGAUUGGGCUUAAAGCUUGGUGCCCGUAGCUAACGUGAUAAAUCGACCGCCUGGGGAGUACGGCCGCAAGGUUA